Molecule: long non-coding RNA, 831 nt
Filed under: Phoenix dactylifera (date palm)
Lineage: Eukaryota; Viridiplantae; Streptophyta; Magnoliopsida; Arecales; Arecaceae
Description: long non-coding RNA (PDAC_LNC010851)
Source: RNAcentral
ACACACACACAACAAAAAAAAAAGAGAGAGAGAAGGGAGAUUGGGUUUUACCUUGCCGCGGGAGGAACCGGAGCGGUUGCCGUCGAUCCGGCCGGGAGGAGCUCGCCGGAGGCAAGGUGAGCACCUUCUCCUUCUUCUCCUUCGUCUUUGGCUAUUAUUUCCUUGGGGAUGUGGCCGGGAAGCCGCCGGGCUGAUGGGGAAGCCGCCGGGCUGAUGGGGAAGCCGAGCCUCUGUUCGGCCUUCUCUCCUUCCGUUCCGGCCGGCCGUCGCCGGGUGUGGCACCACCAUUGGGCGUCGCCGGCCAUGGGCCGCCGGCUGCCAAGCAUUCUCCUCCUUUCCGUCGGGAAGGAGGAAGGAAGAGGGAGAGAGGGAGAGAACCAACUCUCUCUCUCUCUUCUUUGUUGUUUUAUUUACGGGAAGAAGAAGGAAGAGAGGGAGAGAGAGAGAGAGAGCCGACUCUCUCUCUUCUUUGUUAUUUUAUCUUCUCCCUCUAGAUAUUGUCUCUUAUUAGUAUGUUUUCUCUCUUAGUUUAAUUCGAGGGAGNNNNNNNNNNNNNNNNNNNNACUGUCUCUUAUUAGUAUGUUUUCUCUCUAGUUUAAUUCAGGGAGAUCAUGGAUUGUUGGAUAGUCUUGGAAUACUAGAUUUUAGAGGACCCUUUAGAGGAUUAAACAGGGGUCCUGGAUUAUCAUAUAUCUUGAGUAAAUUUUAAUGAUGAUUUGGUUCUGUAGGGGAACAAUCUGUUGGACGAGAGGACGUUGAGCGGGAUUCUGUGCAUUCCGGUUCUUUAUCGCCGUGAAGGCGGGUGAUUGGUUGUCUAAAUUUUCAACAAAG